GGGACACGUGGUAUCCUGUCUGAAUAUGGGGGGACCAUCCUCCAAGGCUAAAUACUCCUGACUGACCGAUAGUGAACCAGUACCGUGAGGGAAAGGCGAAAAGAACCCCGGCGAGGGGAGUGAAAAAGAACCUGAAACCGUGUACGUACAAGCAGUGGGAGCCCUGAUUUAUCAGGGUGACUGCGUACCUUUUGUAUAAUGGGUCAGCGACUUAUAUUCUGUAGCAAGGUUAACCGAAUAGGGGAGCCGGAGGGAAACCGAGUCUUAACUGGGCGUUAAGUUGCAGGGUAUAGACCCGAAACCCGGUGAUCUAGCCAUGGGCAGGUUGAAGGUUGGGUAACACUAACUGGAGGACCGAACCGACUAAUGUUGAAAAAUUAGCGGAUGACUUGUGGCUGGGGGUGAAAGGCCAAUCAAACCGGGAGAUAGCUGGUUCUCCCCGAAAGCUAUUUAGGUAGCGCCUCGUGAAUUCAUCUCCGGGGGUAGAGCACUGUUUCGGCAAGGGGGUCAUCCCGACUUACCAACCCGAUGCAAACUGCGAAUACCGGAGAAUGUUAUCACGGGAGACACACGGCGGGUGCUAACGUCCGUCGUGAAGAGGGAAACAACCCAGACCGCCAGCUAAGGUCCCAAAGUCAUGGUUAAGUGGGAAACGAUGUGGGAAGGCCCAGACAGCCAGGAUGUUGGCUUAGAAGCAGCCAUCAUUUAAAGAAAGCGUAAUAGCUCACUGGUCGAGUCGGCCUGCGCGGAAGAUGUAACGGGGCUAAACCAUGCACCGAAGCUGCGGCAGCGACGCUGAUGCGUUGUUGGGUAGGGGAGCGUUCUGUAAGCCUGUGAAGGUGUGCUGUGAGGUAUGCUGGAGGUAUCAGAAGUGCGAAUGCUGACAUAAGUAACGAUAAAGCGGGUGAAAAGCCCGCUCGCCGGAAGACCAAGGGUUCCUGUCCAACGUUAAUCGGGGCAGGGUGAGUCGACCCCUAAGGCGAGGCCGAAAGGCGUAGUCGAUGGGAAACAGGUUAAUAUUCCUGUACUUGGUGUUACUGCGAAGGGGGGACGGAGAAGGCUAUGUUGGCCGGGCGACGGUUGUCCCGGUUUAAGCGUGUAGGCUGGUUUUCCAGGCAAAUCCGGAGAAUCAAGGCUGAGGCGUGAUGACGAGGCACUACGGUGCUGAAGCAACAAAUGCCCUGCUUCCAGGAAAAGCCUCUAAGCAUCAGGUAACAUCAAAUCGUACCCCAAACCGACACAGGUGGUCAGGUAGAGAAUACCAAGGCGCUUGAGAGAACUCGGGUGAAGGAACUAGGCAAAAUGGUGCCGUAACUUCGGGAGAAGGCACGCUGAUAUGUAGGUGAAGCGACUUGCUCGUGGAGCUGAAAUCAGUCGAAGAUACCAGCUGGCUGCAACUGUUUAUUAAAAACACAGCACUGUGCAAACACGAAAGUGGACGUAUACGGUGUGACGCCUGCCCGGUGCCGGAAGGUUAAUUGAUGGGGUCAGCGCAAGCGAAGCUCUUGAUCGAAGCCCCGGUAAACGGCGGCCGUAACUAUAACGGUCCUAAGGUAGCGAAAUUCCUUGUCGGGUAAGUUCCGACCUGCACGAAUGGCGUAAUGAUGGCCAGGCUGUCUCCACCCGAGACUCAGUGAAAUUGAACUCGCUGUGAAGAUGCAGUGUACCCGCGGCAAGACGGAAAGACCCCGUGAACCUUUACUAUAGCUUGACACUGAACACUGGUCCUUGAUGUGUAGGAUAGGUGGGAGGCUUUGAAGUGUGGACGCCAGUCUGCAUGGAGCCGUCCUUGAAAUACCACCCUUUAAUGGCUGGUGUUCUAACGUGGGCCCGUAAUCCGGGUUGCGGACAGUGUCUGGUGGGUAGUUUGACUGGGGCGGUCUCCUCCUAAAGAGUAACGGAGGAGCACGAAGGUUGGCUAAUCCUGGUCGGACAUCAGGAGGUUAGUGCAAUGGCAUAAGCCAGCUUGACUGCGAGCGUGACGGCGCGAGCAGGUGCGAAAGCAGGUCAUAGUGAUCCGGUGGUUCUGAAUGGAAGGGCCAUCGCUCAACGGAUAAAAGGUACUCCGGGGAUAACAGGCUGAUACCGCCCAAGAGUUCAUAUCGACGGCGGUGUUUGGCACCUCGAUGUCGGCUCAUCACAUCCUGGGGCUGAAGUAGGUCCCAAGGGUAUGGCUGUUCGCCAUUUAAAGUGGUACGCGAGCUGGGUUUAGAACGUCGUGAGACAGUUCGGUCCCUAUCUGCCGUGGGCGCUGGAGAACUGAGGGGGGCUGCUCCUAGUACGAGAGGACCGGAGUGGACGCAUCACUGGUGUUCGGGUUGUCAUGCCAAUGGCACUGCCCGGUAGCUAAAUGCGGAAGAGAUAAGUGCUGAAAGCAUCUAAGCACGAAACUUGCCCCGA
Molecule: ribosomal RNA, 2400 nt
Filed under: Escherichia albertii
Lineage: Bacteria; Pseudomonadati; Pseudomonadota; Gammaproteobacteria; Enterobacterales; Enterobacteriaceae
Description: partial 23S ribosomal RNA
Rfam family: Bacterial large subunit ribosomal RNA
Source: RNAcentral